This 446-nucleotide ribosomal RNA is filed under the name uncultured bacterium. Its description in RNAcentral is "bacterial SSU rRNA". It matches the Rfam family "Bacterial small subunit ribosomal RNA", at positions 29 to 521 of the family's 1533-position model. The record is from RNAcentral.
AACGAACGCUGGCGGCAGGCCUAACACAUGCAAGUCGAGCGAACCCUUCGGGGUUAGCGGCGGACGGGUUAGUAACGCGUGGGAAUAUACCCUUUGGUACGGAAUAGCCUCGGGAAACUGAGAGUAAUACCGUAUGUGCCCUUCGGGGGAAAGAUUUAUCGCCAAAGGAUUAGCCCGCGUUGGAUUAGAUAGUUGGUGGGGUAAUGGCCUACCAAGUCUACGAUCCAUAGCUGGUUUGAGAGGAUGAUCAGCAACACUGGGACUGAGACACGGCCCAGACUCCUACGGGAGGCAGCAGUGGGGAAUCUUAGACAAUGGGCGCAAGCCUGAUCUAGCCAUGCCGCGUGGACGAUGAAGGCCUUAGGGUUGUAAAGUCCUUUCAGAUGGGAAGAUAAUGACGGUACCAUCAGAAGAAGCCCGGCAAACUCCGUGCCAGCAGCCGCGGU